UCUCCCCCUUCCCAUUACAGAGAGGCUCAGCCCCUGGUUCCUGGCUAGGGUUUUACGUUGUGGAUGUGGGUUUACGGAAAAAAAAAAAAGGGAAAAAGCUGAGAAGCUGCGCUGGGACCCCGGAUUGCUCAGACCACCUUAAAUCAGCCUGGCCGCCCCAGCUACUGUGGAAAUUCCUUUCUCCGCGGUGGUUGGCUGGGGGCGCCAGCCAAUCCGCUCGCGACGCUCCCACAUGGGUCAGUGACGUCACAUAGGAAACUGGCCAAUGGGGAUUAGGAGACCAGCAACCAAUGGCAGGAGGCACUGGGAUCAGUAGGGCCAAUCGGAAGGCAGCUCGGCGCUCCCGGCGGGGUUUGGCGAGUGUGGCCCCCCUCCCUAGGAGAAUCUGAGACCCUAGUGGACGCCCGAGCUCGACCGGAUUGGAGGAGGGGGGGCUAAGGCUCCAUUAUUAUCCAGAAACAGGGGAAAGCGAGUCACCCCCAAGCCUGGCCUAUCUCCCCUUCAAAACAAGGGACCCUCGUGCAAUAUGCUACCAGCUAGCUGGCGGAGCAGAGGUUGCAUCUUUCUCCCUAUUUCACAGAUAGAGUCUUAUUCUGUCGCCCAGACUGGAGUACAGUGGCGAGAUCUCGGCUUACUGCAACCUCCACCUCCCAGGCUCAAGCCAUCCUCCUGCCUCAGCCUCCCGAGUAGCUGGGAUUACAGGUGCGUGCCACCACGCCUGGCUAAUUUUUGUAUUUUUAGUAGAGAUGGGGUUUCACCAUGUUGGCCAGGCUGGUCUUGAACUCUUGACCUCAAAUUAUCCACCUGCCUCAGCCUCCCAAAGUGCUGGGAUUACAGGAGUGAGCCCCCGCGCCCAGCCUGCCAUUGCUAUUAUCACUGGGCUACCUGGUUGAUAUACACACCAUGGCCCUCCGAAUUAUGGGCUGAGAGCUUGCCCUGUGAUGGGUACAGUGCCGCCUCCAGGCUUCGCCACCGGGAUUCCCUCUGCCUGGAGCACCCGCCCCUCCCUGAGAGCCACCUCCCAACAUGGGCUCUUGCUGUCAAACCCUCCUCGGCUCAAAUGUCACCUCCUCAGAGAGGCCUCCCCUCCUCUCCUGGGCCAAGCAGCCCCGUCUCUCUCUGUCACCAACCCUUGCUAGAUUUUUCUUCCUACCACUUGGUGUUCUCUGCAAUGGUCUUGACCUAUUUUCCAAACCUUCCCCAUGACUCUGUGAGCUCCACGAGGGUCGAGAGGCGCUCCGUCUGGGUCCGUGAUACCCAAGCCUGGCACACAGUAGGCGCCCAAUAAAUACAGGAAUGAAAGGCCCGCUGCUGCCCCAGGUUGGUUUUUCUUCCCCACCAAUCCAGUUGCUGGGA
RNAcentral lists this long non-coding RNA (1356 nucleotides) under Homo sapiens (human). RNAcentral describes it as "HSALNT0395656". Lineage: Eukaryota; Metazoa; Chordata; Mammalia; Primates; Hominidae. The record is from RNAcentral.